Molecule: long non-coding RNA, 2011 nt
Filed under: Coffea arabica (coffee)
Lineage: Eukaryota; Viridiplantae; Streptophyta; Magnoliopsida; Gentianales; Rubiaceae
Description: long non-coding RNA (CARA_LNC001165)
Source: RNAcentral
GAAUCAAUUUAUACAUAUCCCAAAGUGAUCCCGUCCAAAUUAUUCCCAAAACACGUAUGGGUAAGGUUGAACCCAAACCCAUAUGAUCCGAUUCCAUCUCAAACCCAAGCAAAUCCUGCCUAUCUCGUCCAUUUUGCCACCUCUAUAUUCUUCUUCUUCUUCUUUUUGUUCUGCUUUCGUUGGUUUGAAAUAUUCAUCCACCGUGUCUGCCUUUCUAUCAAGUUGCUUCUGCUUCAUUUUAGCUUUUUCUUUUCAAUGGCGAAAUGCACUAGAUAUUGAAUAAUCAUCGUCAGAAAUGCUCAUUUACGACAUUUUCUACAUCCUUGCGUCCAAUAAUUCUUUCCUGCCUGAGAAAAGUCAUCCACAGUGCAUUUGACGACCCAGCUAAUUCAAUAAUUGGAGACGUCAUGCAAAUUCUUUCCCCCCCACUCGAUCUUGAUCUAAUGGUUGUUUCGCGACAGUAUCCAUAUUGGCCUACUGGUGGCAGCUAUAGAUGACAAACCAACCCACUUAACUAAAUUUACCCAUACCCGUCCAUGAAUAGAUGAGUAUGGGUAUUUUAAAUUUUUAUAGAUGGAUAUAAAUGGGUUACCCAAUAAUACCCAUUAAAUGGGUAUUAUUGGGUAACCCAUCAAACCCAAUUAACCCAUUUAGAAUUCUCUUCCCCCAAGUCUCUUCUCUUCCCUCACCCUUUUUUUUCCAAAUUUUUCAUUUUGUCAUGAUAUUAACUACUUUUGUUUCAUUAUUAUUAUUAUUAUUUUAUUUUCUCUUAGUUUGUUAACUUGCUUAUUUUUUAGCAUUACCAAUUUAUGAUAAAUUUUAGCCUCUUUUCUUAUCCUUCUAAAAUGAAAUUUUAAAUUUAUAUAUGAAAAAAAUGUUAGGGGUUCAAAAUUUUUGGAUUAAGGUUUUAUAUUAACUUUUAUAGUACUUAGUUCAAAUUUUUUUUAUUCUUAUUAUUCAAUUAUUAAAUAAUAUGUAAUUUUACGACAUAUAGUAUAAAUGAAAAAAAAUUGGUAAUUAGGUUUAUUGAACAUUAUAAGUAAAUAUUUAAAAUUAAUAAUGGGUACAACGAGCGGUAUAAAUUGAUAACUAAGUUUGCAAAAAAUAAAUUUAAAUGAGUUUACAAAAAAUAAAAAUAAAUGGGUUAUAAAGGGGUAAUUGGGUUACCCAAUUCAUUUUUUGACUUACCCAUUUAUACCCAUCUAAUUAAAUUGGUAAAAAUGGGUUGACUCACUUAUACCCAUUACCCAUUUUACCCAACUCAAACCCGUCCAAAUCACUCAUUUUGACACCUCUAGUGGCAGCCCUCUUUGCAGCAAAUAUGUUGCGAAGCAAUAACCAUGGACAUAUCUAAUUUGAUGUAAAACUAAUCAGUAGAAUUAUGGGAGGCCUUUGUGUAAAACAAGAAAUUCUUGCAAAAUAGAAUCUAAAGAAAGAAUUAAAGGAGAAAAUAUACUCCUUGUUUGCUUGCUAACUAAUUCCAACUUAAAUUUAAAAUAUAAUUUUAUACACUGUCAGCAUAAAUAGAUAAAUCUAUAUUUAAAAGAUUAAAAAAAAAAUAAACCGCAUAAGCAUGAUUGAUCUUCACUUGCAUUCCUUAAAUAAUUGAGGGACGCUCAUCAUAAUAAUAGAUGGAGCAUUUUGAAUAAGAGUUGGUACUGUCAUAUAAGAAUCAAUUUCCACUUUCGUAGUGUUGUAGAUUAAUCACAUCAAAUGACAACUUAUUUCUCCCCAGUCAAUGAUCAUAUAUUCCCACCAUCAAAAGGGUGCAGGGCACACAUUUGCUCCGUGGCCCAUGUAUUUGUUCAGUUUGUGCUAUGACACAAUCUUUAGAUUUUUUUUUCAUUGCAGGUGAGAUUCGAACCCUCACCUACAGGCCAAGGAGGGACUUAAGUUCCUCCCUGGUGGCUACUGAGCCAUUGGCCCAGUGAUUUUGUUCAGUUUCCAUUAUUUUCUUUCAGACCACGUUCUAAUUUCUUUGCUCAUAAAUUUUCUGUAUAUUCUGUAGAAC